RNAcentral lists this ribosomal RNA (253 nucleotides) under uncultured bacterium. RNAcentral describes it as "partial 16S ribosomal RNA". It matches the Rfam family "Bacterial small subunit ribosomal RNA", at positions 524 to 776 of the family's 1533-position model. The record is from RNAcentral.
UACAGAGGUCUCAAGCGUUGUUCGGAUUCAUUGGGCGUAAAGGGUGCGUCGGUGGUGAUGCAAGUCUGGUGUGAAAUCUCGGAGCUCAACUCCGAAAUUGCACCGGAUACUGCGUGACUCGAGGACUGUAGAGGAGAUCGGAAUUCACGGUGUAGCAGUGAAAUGCGUAGAUAUCGUGAGGAAGACCAGUUGCGAAGGCGGAUCUCUGGGCAGUUCCUGACACUGAGGCACGAAGGCCAGGGGAGCAAACGGG